RNAcentral lists this transfer RNA (539 nucleotides) under uncultured cyanobacterium. RNAcentral's name for it is "partial 16S-23S ribosomal RNA intergenic spacer". The stretch from base 211 to 283 matches the Rfam family "tRNA". The record is from RNAcentral. Lineage: Bacteria; Bacillati; Cyanobacteriota.
CAGGGAGACAACAAAAUGUUUAAUAUUAUUAUUUUGUCACCUUAGGUCGAUCGGUAUCUCACAUUCUUAAUUUAUUAAGGAUUUCAUUUCCUAAGUUUUUCUAGGUCACACCCAUUAUUUUUCCUGGGCCAUUAGCUCAGGUGGUUAGAGCGCACCCCUGAUAAGGGUGAGGUCCCUGGUUCAAGUCCAGGAUGGCCCAUACUCUAUGUUGGGGGUAUAGCUCAGUUGGUAGAGCGCCUGCUUUGCAAGCAGGAUGUCAGCGGUUCGAGUCCGCUUACCUCCACUGAUUACCACCUCUUCCAUAAUCUGUAGAAGGGAAAAUUUUUGUGUUGUGAUCAUAAAUCUGAACGAAUCUAGCUUCCUAAUGAAACAUUAAGAUGCUGGACUCAUUGAAUUAAUUUCAUUGUUUUCAGAGAACCUUGACAACUGCAUAGAUUAUUUUUAAAGACAAUAAGCAUCUUUAUGAUGCAGAUUUAUUAUUUGUGCGAAUGCAUUAAUAACAAUUCUAUUAAGCUGAUGCUUCAAUUUUUGAAGUUAUU